AUAUAAUUACACAUAUAUUAUAUAAUUAUUGCUAUGGUUUGACUGUGUGCUCCAGAAUUUACAUGUUGAAAACCUAAUCCCUAAUGCAACAGUGUUGAAAGUGGGGCCUUUGGCUAGGUGUGUGUAGGUGGAGCUCUCAUGAAUGGAUUAAUGCUGCUACAAAAACAAAACAAAACAAACAAACAAAAACCUUAGGGGGUAGGUUCACUCUCUUCUGCUCUUCUGCCAUGUGAGGACACAGAGUUUGUCCCUUUUUACCCUUCCGCCUUCUGUUACAUGAGUAUACAGCAAGGAGACUUCACCAAAUGCCAGUAUCUUCAUCUUGAAGUUUCCAGCCUGAGAGAAGUAAAUUUCUGUUCCUUAUAAAUUAUCCAGUUUCACAUAUUCUGUUAUAGCAACACAAAAGGCUAAGGCAAUUACAUGAUUAUAUUAUUAUAGUAAAUAUAACUAUUAAUUCUCAGAAUAAACACCUAUGGCCCUGAAUAAGCUAGGUGAAUAAACAAUAGACAAGCCUCCAGCAUAAACAGAGAAGGAUAAAUUCACAGUGAGAACUCUGUGUAAGGACAAGUAAGGUGAAGUCAACACUGACUGUUUAUGUUUUGAGAGGUUUUACUGGAAGUGCGUGUGCAGCAAAACACAACAUUCAAGCAAAUGAAAAUAAUCAUGAAAUUAUCUUGCCAAGAAUGAAAUCUUAGAGGAGGGGACUUCCAAGGUUUUCUUUCUUUCCCAAUUUUAGUUGUUUUUUUUUUUAAAGGUGUAAGAUCUGGGACUACAUUCUAUUUUCUGUAAAUUGUGCAGAGCAAGUGUGUGGUGACCGUUUUUUCCCCCUCGGAUUUUAAUCUACUGGAUAUGCCCAUAGAGUUUGCAGGAAUAACGGCUGGUUCUGGAAGCUGUUGGAGAUGUGAGAUAAAGAAAGAGAAUAAAUAUAAAACAUCAAUACUACUAUUUUGAAACACUGAUUUACUUUUCGGAAAGAGAAGAAAGGGCAAAGGGAUGGGAACUAAUAUAGAUAUACCAAAUUAUGUGCAACACACACCAUCCUUACAGAGUGCUGCAACCAAAAGCCAGAGAGUGUCUUGCCUUUCACAAUGCCAAAUCAAAAAGGUGAAUGCAUAGCCCACUCAGAGAAAUAAAGCUUAUGAAGACAGUCUUCGCUACAGGAGCCUGCUCAUCAUCCAAUAUCGUCCUCUUGGCUGUGCACCUUUUGAUGUAACACUGAAAUGAGAAUCAACCAACCUAAAUAUCUGUAACAAUAUCUGGGAAGAUGUAUAAUUCAGAAUUGCAUGAAGACAACAAAAGAUUAGUUGACACUUAGGACUGGCAAUUUUGUGUGUGCUCCUGUAACCCCAGCCACAUGUAACUCCAUGCCUGGAGAGUGUUCUGGAAUCUGGGCAUAUCUUCUCUACAGUAUUCGACUUGUCUCUUGAAUGCCAUACAUGGCAAUUUUGUAUGCUGAAUUGUGUCCCCUCUCUCCAAAUUCAUAAGUUGACGUCGGAACCCUCAUUACUUCAGAAUAUAACUGCAUUUUGGAGAUAAGGUUUAUAAAGAGGUAAUUAAGUUAAAAUGAGGUCCUAACCCAAUCUGACUAGCAUCCUUCAGAGAAGAGGAAGAAAUGCCAGGGCUGUGAGUGCACAAAGGGUCAACUAUGUGAAGAGGCAUCAAGAGGGCAGCCAUCUGCAAAGUCAGAGAGAUAAACCUUAGGAGAAACCAACUUGCCAGUGCCUUGAUUUUGGACUCGCUUCUUCAGAAAUGUGAGAAAAUAAAUUUUGUUGAUUAAGCCACCUAGUCUGUAGUACUUUGUUAUGGCAACCGUAGCAAACUAUUCCAACAGCAAAGAACGUUAGUCCUGGGUAUUUCAAGUGCACCAAAUGGCUAACUCUGCAAUCAAGAUAAAGCGUCACAAGGAGUCUGGAGUUCUCACCUCCCUCAUCCAAAAACCCUCAACCUUGGUUCCCAGUCACCCUCCACCAACACCCUCCUUCUUAUUUUGUUUGGCUUUGCCUCAUGUCUUGUCAGUCAUCCUCUAUACCAUGGAUUUUGGUAAUGAUAGGGGCCCAGUAGCUUUAGAUUCUGAGCAUUGAAAAGAAAUAUGUUCUACAUGGGCUGGUCUUCAGGCACACUGUCUAAAGGGUAAUCAAACAUUUCCCAUGAAAUGUAACCACCCUCUUGCCAUCAGAUCUUGUAUGUAUUGUUGUACAGAAUAUGUUUUAUCAGUUCUUCAAUGUGAUUUGCCAUAAAACAACCCCUUCUUUUUAUUUGAACUUUGAUAUACAACAUACUCCAAGAGGAGGUUAAGUUUCUUGAACUGGUUGUGAGGAGGGUUAGGAAAUUUAUCCUACCAUACUCACAGUACUAUAGAGGCAAAUGUGGCAUAAAAUUAUAUCCUUGCAACUGCUUCUACCAGGUUUAUGAAAUUACUCUACAGUUUCCAGUUUCUUCUUACUAAGGUGCUAGUGAUAACCAGUAAUGAAGGUAAGCCUCUGCUUAGUCCUGCCUAAAUUCUUUCUCAUCUGAUUUCUGUUUUCCUAUGUUGUUCUUUUCCCUUUGAGGAAUGAAAAUUUCUGUGCCUGGAUUCUUACUUCUUAAUCUCUGUUUAUACAGUUCUCCAAAAUGUAUGCAAUAACAUUUAGCAAUAAAUGUCUAUAAGCUCUUUUCAUCUUGCAAAAACUUGACUGCCUACAAAUUUAUCACCCUGGAAAUGACAUCUGCCUGUUCUAUCAAGUUGGAAAUGCUGUUCACCAACCUAAGCACUUGUGCCUUUUUCUCCAACCUGCUGGGAAGUUGGAGGAGCAUGGAUCUCUUGUGGGAAGAGCCAUUCCCAAAUGGUGCCUGAGCUAAAAGCAGAUCUCAUGGUGGCAGGGGUGAUAUCUAAAAUAUUUAAUAACUAGUAAGGUACAAGCACAAAAACCAAUCAAAACUGAUACAUAUUAUGUGGGAAUAUGAAGCAUUUUCAAAUUAAUCAUGAGAUAGAUUUAAAGAAAUAUUAAAAUUUACCAAAUAACUUACUGUGAGUCCCUGGCUUUGUUACAGCUAUAUCAUCAUGGUACUUAUUAGCCACUGGAGAGGCCAGAAUUAUAUCAGAGAUACAACCAGCCUGCCACUCAUUGGCCUUUACCCUCUGUGAUGUUCCUGACACUGCCAGCAAAACCUCUCUAUCACAGACUUACAGCUUCCUCCAGCUGCAAGAAACCCUGGUCUUGUUCUUAUCUACUAAGCAAAUGAAUAUUAUAAUCGACAAAUAAAUGAGCUUGAUUGGGUCCUCAUCCACUUAUUCACUCAUGUCACAAAAAUUAAGUGAAUUACAAAUAUGGACCAAGCACUGAAUUCAUUUUUAAAAAUUUAAUGAAUAAAUAAAAUGAUAUGAGUAGAUGCAUAAAUGAACAAAUGACUAAAACUACGGUGAUUACUAAUUCUCUUUUGUAGAAUAAGCAUGGAUUAUUCUCCAAAUAGAGGCUCUUAACACAGAAGACAAGGUAGGGAGGAAACUUCUACCAGUUUUAAAGAGACCAAGAGGGCAGAGAAGGGACAUUUAGUUCUGAGAUAUCAAUGAUAGGACUGUGUUACAGAUUCAGAAGCUGUCAUUACUUGAGAGCAGAAGGAAGAAACAAAACAAAACGUUAUUAACAAUGAUGGCAACAUGUAAGUCUAGUUGGUUCUACCAUAAAUAUUUGUAUAGACUCUGCUAUUUUCAAACUAAUACUGAUUAAUUCUAUCAGUUUAGCUUACCUCAACCCUGAAGAGGUUUAUAUUGCAAUCAUUCCACUCUACCUAUUAAAAAUUGAUUAUUUUGCAACUUGUAUUAUUUCUUUUAAGUUGCAGAUUAUUUGCUUAUUUCAGUGAAUUUUGUUGUAUUUGGGCCUAUGCCUGGGGCCACAGCUCCUUAAACUAACACAAAAGAAAAGGUUGAGUCAUAAGCCCACCAAGAUCCAUUUCCUUAUUGUCAGGCCUCUGAGCCCAAGCUAAGCCAUCAUAUCCCCUGUGACUUGCAUGUAUA
This 3994-nucleotide long non-coding RNA is filed under the name Homo sapiens (human). RNAcentral describes it as "HSALNT0339523". The record is from RNAcentral. Lineage: Eukaryota; Metazoa; Chordata; Mammalia; Primates; Hominidae.